UCUCCGUCGGUGAACCAGCGGAGGGAUCAUUACCGAGUUUACAACUCCCAAACCCAAUGUGAACGUUACCAAACUGUUGCCUCGGCGGGGUCACGCCCCGGGUGCGUCGCAGCCCCGGAACCAGGCGCCCGCCGGAGGAACCAACCAAACUCUUUCUGUAGUCCCCUCGCGGACGUUAUUUCUUACAGCUCUGAGCAAAAAUUCAAAAUGAAUCAAAACUUUCAACAACGGAUCUCUUGGUUCUG
This 245-nucleotide unclassified non-coding RNA is filed under the name plant metagenome. Its description in RNAcentral is "partial contains small subunit ribosomal RNA, internal transcribed spacer 1, and 5.8S ribosomal RNA". The record is from RNAcentral.